RNAcentral lists this ribosomal RNA (864 nucleotides) under uncultured bacterium. RNAcentral describes it as "bacterial SSU rRNA". It matches the Rfam family "Bacterial small subunit ribosomal RNA", at positions 58 to 918 of the family's 1533-position model. The record is from RNAcentral.
CUAGAUUGUUAGGUAGAUGACCUGCGCAUCCUACCAUGCAGUCGACGUACGCGAGACUGCUUCUGCGAGAUGACGACGGUGAGAAUCUUAGAUCUCCCAUAGUGGGACAAUCGGGAACUCGAGCUAAUACCGCAUACGCCCUCGGGGAAAGGGAGGCUUUCGGAGUUCGCCUAAUGGAUGACCUAAUCGGUUAGCUUGUUGGUGGGGUAAAGGCCACCAAGGCGACGAUCCGUACUGGUCUAGAGGACAUCACCACACUGGAUGAGACACGCCCAGACUCCUACGGGAGGCAGCAGUGGGAAUAUUGGACAAUGGGGCAACCCUGAUCCAGCAAUCCGCGUGUGUAAGAAGGCCUGCGGGUUGUAAAGCACUUUCAGUAGAGAAGAAAAGCUCAGCGUUAAUACCGCUGAGUCUUGACGUAAUCUACAGAAGAAGCACCGGCUAACUCCGUGCCAGCAGCCGCGGUAAUACGGAGGGUGCAAGCGUUAAUCGGAAUUACUGGGCGUAAAGCGCGCGUAGGCGGUCUGGUCAGUCGGAUGUGAAAGCCCUGGGCUCAACCUGGGAAUUGCAUUCGAUACUGCCUGACUAGAGUAUGGUAGAGGGAAGUGGAAUUUCCGGUGUAGCGGUGAAAUGCGUAGAUAUCGGAAGGAACACCAGUGGCGAAGGCGACUUCCUGGGCCAAUACUGACGCUGAGGUGCGAAAUGCGUGGGGAGCAAACAGGAUUAGAUACCCUGGUAGUCCACGCCGUAAACGAUGAGAACUAGAUGUUGGGAGGGUUUGCCUCUCGGUGUCGCAGCUAACGCGUUAAGUUCUCCGCCUGGGGAGUACGCCGGCAACGGUAAAACUCAAAUGAAUUGACGGGG